UUAGCCUGCGUUAAGGAUUGUAGCGGAAAUCCUUUUUAUGUCAGUUCGAGAGUCGCGCCAAAGCGUGAUGUAUCGAGAACAAAUAAAAAGAUUGUAGUGCAAAGCCUGACCU
This 112-nucleotide small RNA is filed under the name uncultured Polaribacter sp. RNAcentral's name for it is "Flavo-1 RNA". The stretch from base 14 to 112 matches the Rfam family "Flavo-1 RNA", at positions 9 to 73 of the family's 76-position model. The record is from RNAcentral. Lineage: Bacteria; Pseudomonadati; Bacteroidota; Flavobacteriia; Flavobacteriales; Flavobacteriaceae.